Molecule: ribosomal RNA, 236 nt
Filed under: uncultured bacterium
Lineage: Bacteria
Description: partial 16S ribosomal RNA
Rfam family: Bacterial small subunit ribosomal RNA
Source: RNAcentral
GACAGAGGGUGCAAACGUUGUUCGGAAUUACUGGGCGUAAAGCGCGUGUAGGCGGCUAAGUAAGUCGGGCGUGAAAUCCCACGGCUCAACCGUGGAAGUGCACUCGAAACUGCAUAGCUAGAGUCCUGGAGAGGAAGGUGGAAUGCUUGGUGUAGAGGUGAAAUUCGUAGAUAUCAAGCGGAACACCGGUGGCGAAGGCGGCCUCUGGACAGUGACUGACGCUGAGACGGCGAAAG